This 486-nucleotide long non-coding RNA is filed under the name Anser brachyrhynchus (Pink-footed goose). Its description in RNAcentral is "lncRNA (ENSABRG00000005941.1)". Lineage: Eukaryota; Metazoa; Chordata; Aves; Anseriformes; Anatidae. The record is from RNAcentral.
GGAAAAGCACCGAAGAGCUCUGGCUUUUAAGAUAAGGAGCCAGGAGUGGUGUAAUUACCUCCCAUCAGGUUAGAAAGUAAAAACAGCAUUUUCUCUGCCAAGGCAGCUGAAUGCAUCUGGCCUCUCCAAUCAAGCCACCCUAGGAAGCUUCUCGCGGCCCCGGAAACUCUCCCGGCGUCUCCUGGCCCCAUUUUCGCCCUCCAGCCUGGCGCAGAGGGUUUUAGUGAAAUUGCUGCUGAUUGCUCCUGCUCUGGAGUGAGGAGAGAAACAGCUCCGGCGUGCCCUGUGCUUGGCACCACGACUGCUCCUGCAAGGCAGGCAAUAAAUCAGAUCCCCUGGCACUGGGGGUGCCGGGCAGCUGGGGUGGCCGUGGGGUGCAGCACCCACACACCGCCCGGCCCCCGGCCCUCCUCUCUCUGCUCUGACCUCAGGCGGGCGCAGGGCGCCUUGCCCUGUCCCCCUCCUCUGAGUGCUGGGGAGAGCUGA